RNAcentral lists this non-coding RNA (235 nucleotides) under Bathycoccus prasinos. The record is from RNAcentral. Lineage: Eukaryota; Viridiplantae; Chlorophyta; Mamiellophyceae; Mamiellales; Bathycoccaceae.
ACAAACGCCCGCGAAAGCUGGAACCGGUGCGUUCAAAGAUUAGAGAAGAAUAAGAAUAUGAAUAGCGUAGCUUUAGAUAGGUUAGAACACUUGCGCGCGAACUUUAGAUUGUAACAACACAUUUUAACGCAUUAGUACUCUUCGUGUAGAUGUGUAUUGAGACAUUUUCUCGCGAAAAACGUGGACACAAUUAAACGACGUGGACGCACAAUUAAACGCUAAAAGAUAUCGGUAU